RNAcentral lists this long non-coding RNA (3757 nucleotides) under Anas zonorhyncha (Eastern spot-billed duck). RNAcentral's name for it is "lncRNA (ENSAZOG00000001391.1)". Lineage: Eukaryota; Metazoa; Chordata; Aves; Anseriformes; Anatidae. The record is from RNAcentral.
AUGAAAUGCCAGUUCUUGGGUGUCAGCCCUGAGCUUCCAGGUGUGCAGCUCUCACAUACCCCAAAUACAGUUCCUGUCUUGGGACUGUUAGCAGACCUUUUCUUGCACAGGCUUUGCUGGAGAGCCAGGAUCACUGCUGGCUGCGGAAGCGAAUCAGCAAGUAUGGCUGCGAGUGACGUGCCCCAUGCUGCAGCAAGAUUUUGGAUGGAGGAGUUGUGUUGCAGCCAGAGGAUUCAAAUUUUAGUGGAAUAUCUGUAAAAAAAGAUGUCAGGGUAACUUUCAUUCAAGAACUGGCACAAAACUGUUACAGCAUACCUUUUGGGGAGAAGCUGUGAGAAAAGCAAGAAAACAAAUCCACCAAAACAUUACUAGGAGCUAUCACUCAUGAAAGGCGAUGCAAGCCCUUCUUUGAAUUCUUCUUGGGCUAUGGAUCAGAAUGUCUAUUGUUUUUUCACUAUCUAGCAGUAAUUUUACCCCAGAAAGCUAGAUAUACCUUUUGUUAAUCACAGAAGUCAUUAGGAAUAUAGCUUCCUUUACAUUGUGGUAGUUUGACAUCUGAGCAAAUUCAAAUGAGUUUAGUUACUGUUCAUGGGAAAGUCAUCACAAGAUUUGAGCCAUAAAACAAUGCACAUAAAACUAUGUUCAGUUAGUUCAGAUCUAAAUAUAAAAGGAGUAAGAUCAUUUUGUGUUCUCGCUGAGGGCAGGCACAAAGAUAAACUGAACUGAUUUAAAAAUAUAUGAAAAUUCGAACUGCAAUAGAAAUCUCUGAAAAUUAUCUUUAAAGAGAAAGGGGAACCUAGCAACAGCUUCUGCAGAUUUUAAAAAUGAAAUGCCUUCUCACUACCUAAAUUAAAAUAAAACUGGCCCAAGAUGGAUCUUUUUUUUUCUAGUUGAAGAUAAACCUGCUGGUUUCAGUGGAGCUAUUCAUGUGGAGAAAUGUGAUUUUUUACAAUAACACGUUUUCUCCAGUCUCUUUAUUCACUUUACACUAUGCACUUAUAAAGAUCCUGCAGACCUGUCCACAUUUCAUUUAAUAUUUUAUAUAGAUAAUUAGCGGAGAAGAUGUGAAAUCUGGGUAUAGGCCAGAUUCACUGGGUUUUCUGUAAUGUCUUGAAUGAUAGUAGUUAGGAAAAACACCUUUUAAUGUCUUUUAAUGUCUUUGUAACCUGCUAUUUCUUUGGUGUAAAUUUAAAAGAAAUACAAUCUUGAGGGGUAGCCACUACCCAGGGGGUAUGUCCUGCUGCAUGUCUGUUAGCAAAACGAAAAGUGAGAGGAUUCAGAAAAUUGAGUCAAAUUAUAACAGUGGGGUUGAUGGAGUUGGGGGCUUUGUGGAGGGACUCAUGUAACUGUGGCGAUGAAACCGGAGUCAUUCAGUACACAUCAGAGUCCGGGCAGAUGGUGCUUAAGACCUGAAAAGCUACUUCAGAAUGCCCCCCCCCCAAUUGAGGAAACAGCAGUUUAUGAAAAAUACAGAAUUUUUUUUUCACUUUUCUUUUAACUGAGAAAUACUCAACUGAUUGAAUUGUACUUAAUAUGGUGUGUGUAGGUGCAGCAUCUGAAAUCCAACACAGGAGGCAUGAUUUUGGCAAAAGCAAAACAACAGAUGCUUGUGACAAGCAGGUUGUAUAACAGAUUUCUCUUGCAACCUAGGUCAGCUGUUUUUCACCAAGAUUGAGUUUAACUGAAAUGGUUAGUAUUAGAUAAAAUAUAUAUUCAUAUGCAGUUGAGGUAUGAUCUUGGCUUCCUUUACAUUGAUAUUUUCACUGAAUUCAGCAUUUGUUAAAGUUACAGCUAAUUAUAACCUUGUGGACAAUAAUUGUUUUACUUACACCAACUGUAUAUAAUAGCUACUAAAUCAGAGCUAUUUCAUUUUUUUUAAUUGUACAUAUAUUUAGGGGAACAUUCUAAAGACACGUGCAAUAUUUAUUCUGUAUUCAACUCAGCAAAACAACUGCAAUUAAGGAAGAAAUAAAAGGAGGAGGGGGAGGGAAGACUAAUUUUGGAAAAACAGCUCCUCCAAUAGCUUGGAAAUACUUCUUGCAAUAUGUUAAGGCUAAUAUAACUGUCACAGCCUUCUGUGGAGCACCCUUCAUGAAAACAUUCAAGUGGAAAAAUUGAAAAGCUCAUGUAAAUGUCAAUCUGAAUAUGUGACUCUACAGUUUUUUGCUGUAUGAAGUAGCUGCUUAGACUUUAGAUGGUGAAAUCAUGUCUUAUUUUGGUGGUGGUUUCCUUUUGAUUUUCUGUUGUCCUGCUUUGCUUGUUAUACAACAAUGUAGCAAUGUGCUGUGGGAAGAGUUAGAGCUGGACACCUGCAAUAUCUGUGCUUCUGUGUGUAUUUGGGAAGGAGAAAGGUGAUGGGCGUGGGUUUUAGUCCCUUCUAGCUCCUGGAGCUGGUGUGCAUAGAGGCAGUGCUGCAGCUGGAAUGUGCUUCUUAGUCAAUGAUAAUCUCAAAGUUCAUGCAUAAAGCAAAAUAGUGCUACAAAAAUGAGAUGACAGACAAAAGAUAAGCUAUAAAAACAACACAAAUGUAAGCAUAAUGUCAAGUGUGUGCAUGUGUUGUAGUUAAUCGUUUAAAAGCAUUGCUUUGAAAACAGGAAUAAACUUUGUCUCAACAUGGUGUUCAAGUGUAUCUUUCCUGUGACCUCCUGGUACCACUGCAGAGGUGCUGGGUGUAACUGUGGAGGCACUGGCUUGGUUUUAGAAGCAGCAACCUGAUGGCUGCUUACUGAAGCCCAUCACCUGGAGCCUCUGCCAUGCUGGUUCCCAUGGUGUGGGAACCAGCCUUGGUCUUCCCUCAGAAGAGUCCUCUUCAUCUCUCUGCGUUUAUCUCCUUGCUCUUAUCUUAAGCCUUGGGGCUUAAGUUUCCUGUUCUUUGAAGAACAUGGUUUCCUUUUUAGCCUGGUUUCAAAGACUCUGCCUCUGUUUACCCCUGUCUUUACCUCUUAAACUCAAUAAGCAGUUCAGAGAAAUUUGACGGCAGAGAGAUCUCAGCUGAAUACACAUAUCUACAGCCACCGAAGUGGGGUACACAGAUAUUAUCUCAUAUGUGCAAUGUGGCAGUGAUGGAGGGCUGCAGGGUAGGUGUUUAAUUGACCCUAAGGAGUUAGUAUUCAUCUCAGCUGGGUGACAAAGAAGUAGGAGCUCCCAGGAGGUGGUGUGGGUUAAAGCCCCGCAAUGUAUACUUUGCUGAACUGGAACACGUUUUGAUAACUAUGUUUAGACAUUGGCUAAUAAGAGUGUUCAGAUAGGGUAUUUGUCAGGUUGGACUGUUUUAACACCAAGGAUAUUUAAAAGCUAUUUUUUAGGUCAUUGAGAUAUUAAUGGUAUUGUAAAUGUGGAACUGCAAGGCAGGGAACUGAACUGCUUUCAGUCAGGAAAAUCACUUGUAUUACAGUAAGCACAUAAAGGAGGAUGUAUCGAUCUGAGUUACAAAAAGAUAUGCUUGAGGAAUAGCUCUGUGCAGAUGCCCCUAAAAUAUCACUUUUGCUAUUUGUGAUUCACUUUGUCCUGCUAAACCAAGGAAGUUGUGGCCUGGCAAUAGACGGCAAAGUCCUGCCGAAGUUUUGCUUCAGAAAGUGUUUCUUUGGAGGGACUGCAGUGAUGUAAGUAGGAAGUAAUUCUGUUUCUUUAUUUCUGCUGAAGUAAACCUUUGGCAUUUUAUAAUAAUUUUAAUACACUUCAUCAGACUUGAGCCUAACAAUAUUAAUUGAAUCUUGCCCAACCUAACUUAGCAGCUUGUUUUGUCAUGAGAAAAACC